GAUGAACGCUGGCGGCGUGCCUAAUAUAUGCAAGUCGAGCGAACAGACGAGGAGCUUGCUCCUCUGACGUUAGCGGCGGACGGGUGAGUAACACGUGGAUAACCUACCUAUAAGACUGGGAUAACUUCGGGAAACCGGAGCUAAUACCGGAUAAUAUAUUGAACCGCAUGGUUCAAUAGUGAAAGACGGUUUUGCUGUCACUUAUAGAUGGAUCCGCGCCGCAUUAGCUAGUUGGUAAGGUAACGGCUUACCAAGGCGACGAUGCGUAGCCGACCUGAGAGGGUGAUCGGCCACACUGGAACUGAGACACGGUCCAGACUCCUACGGGAGGCAGCAGUAGGGAAUCUUCCGCAAUGGGCGAAAGCCUGACGGAGCAACGCCGCGUGAGUGAUGAAGGUCUUCGGAUCGUAAAACCCUGUUAUUAGGGAAGAACAAAUGUGUAAGUAACUAUGCACGUCUUGACGGUACCUAAUCAGAAAGCCACGGCUAACUACGUG
This 497-nucleotide ribosomal RNA is filed under the name uncultured bacterium. Its description in RNAcentral is "partial 16S ribosomal RNA". It matches the Rfam family "Bacterial small subunit ribosomal RNA", at positions 28 to 507 of the family's 1533-position model. The record is from RNAcentral.